Long non-coding RNA from Tetranychus urticae (two-spotted spider mite), 2304 nucleotides. RefSeq lists it as uncharacterized. The record is from RefSeq and is a predicted model, not a curated record. NCBI's taxonomy places the organism in Eukaryota, Metazoa, Arthropoda, Arachnida, Trombidiformes, Tetranychidae.
AACACUCUGUGAUGAUAUCAGAGGUUCACAGUCUCACUUUCAGUGUUUCUUUGUUUAGUCUGUAUGUUAACCAGUUUUGUUUUGUAUUUUAUAGUGUAAGCCUGAUUUAAUUGUGUUUAAAGUAUCAAGUGAAUCAACUAAAUCAACAAAAUCAACAGUCAGCUACUUAAUUAGAUUGUAAUGUUAUUAUGUUUGCUCAAAGUGAAUGUAAAUAUUUGCUUUGUAAAGUUGCUGUUACAUGAAAAUGUAUCACCAACAGACUAUCCAAUCCUGACUCUUCACUAUCACGUGUUUCCCGGCUUCUUUUAAUGGCGUCGUUACCCAAAAAAAACUGGUAAAUGUAAAAUGUUAUAAAUGUUAAUGUUUCAAGAUGAAUCAAAUUGGUUUACAAAUUUAAUUUCAAAAGUCAUCAACACCAACACCAUCUCUAACGGUAUAACUAACGUUAUUAACAUUCCCAUCAUUAUCAUUAGUGUAUUAUCAUUACAGUUAUGAGGAGAAACCAUUACCUUUUUACUGGUCUUACAAAUUUCUUGCAAUCUAAAGUUAGUCAAGUCAACCACAAACACACAACCCAAAACCAAAACCAAAACCGCCAUCAAAAACCAACAUAUCAACAACCACCAUGAACCAUCAUCAUCAUCAUUAAAUUUACUUUCACUGUUCGAGUUCAUAAACAUGGGAACACGCAGAAUCUACUCAAAUAGAUUGUCCUAUUAUCAUUCACCAGCAGCAUAAAAAUCAUCAUCAACAUGUUGAUUAUUUACAUUACAAUCUAAUGUUGCUUAACUCAUUUUGAUUAAUCUUUGGGUCAAGCAUUUUGGUACAACAUCAACGAUAAUUACUGGAUUUGGUGCUUUCUGCUGCUACCUGGCUUUACAUUAUCCAUCAAAGAUGAAAGAAAAAUGGUGUCAAUAGCAAUUUAUUCAAAGGAAUGGUCGUAAAUUAACAAUCUAACCAAUGUUUCCAACACAAUCAGGUUAAUGAAAGCUAACAAAUCAGUCCCUAGUUAAAGCAUCACUCAGCAACCCUGAAGAGGCUGAAACACUAUUUCAAGCAGAUUAGUAUUGAAAACGAGUGAUCCAAGAACUCAAGUCUGGCCAGAUUUUUGCUGCAAAACAAUUGAAAGAUGCUCCAGAUACCUGAUUUCAACUGAUUACACUUUCCUUUAUUAAUCAAAAUCCAUCGUUGAAGCAGACUCAAGCAAAAUUCAAGAGGACAAAAUAAGAAUGAAAAAAGUUGGUCAUUCAAAGGAUCUAGAGAUGAAGACUGAAAAGACAAAAUUGAACUUCAAGACUUUUGAUCGAUGAGACGAAAUUGCAGAUUUACAAUAUAAUUUGUAUUGAAAGAGUAAAGAGGAAAAAUCACGAUUACAAGAAUUUUUUAGAUUCCAUUCAUGAACAGAUUCAUUGAAACCUAUCAAUAUCAUAAUGAAGUAAACAAAAGGACAAUCACACCCAAGUCAAGCUAAAAGAUUAACAUUCCAUGAUUAUCUUUUCUCAAUCAAUAAUCACAUGGAAACAAAUGUGUCUUUGACUGAAUUUUUAUCCUAAAAAAGUAUGAUCAAAGCCAAACAAUAACAACAACCCAAAUCCAAUGGCAACUGUAAAUAUGAGUUAAUGGUUUACUGCUGUUAAUUUGGGAAUUAAAUCUUAUUAAAUGGUAUUAAUACAAUUAUUUAACGACAGUCAAUCAAAACUGAUUAUCAACUGGUACAACUUUAAUGGUUAAUGUUAAUCUUUUAAGAUGAACAUUGAUUUACAUUUGAAAUCAAGUUGGUAAAGUUAAAUAUAAACUGGAAACCAUUUUAACUGUAAAAAUACACAAAAUUGUUGGUGUAUAUUUUGUGAUCAACUAAUCAACUUCAAAAAAUUAGGUUUACAUCUUUGACUAUUUCAUUAAUCUAAAAUGCCUUUCCAUUAAGGUUUCAGUAAAUUGGAACUGAUUCAAGAAACAAAAAUCUAAAUCAAUUAUCAUCAAGACAUUUCAGUUUUACGUUUACCUUGUGUUUUUUGUUUUCCCUCUGGAUAGGUUCAAUAUGUUGAUCAUUGUGAGUUGACUUCAUACCAAGAAUAGACAUUCAGAUUAUGAGAGACAAAUUAAAAGUAAAGAGCAAAUCAGGGAAAAUUCAAUUACUCAGACUGAACGAGAGAAAAGAGUUUGAAAAAUUUUGAAACACCAAACCUUCAAUCAAUUGUAAUAUCAGUAUUUAAUCUUCUUGAUUGAAGUUUAGGUUUGAUCGUUUGAACAAACAGCAAUCAUAAAAGUGAAAUUAAAUCAUUUACUUGGGGUGAAAUGAAUGUA